This 73-nucleotide transfer RNA is filed under the name Ovis aries (sheep). It matches the Rfam family "tRNA". From Rfam's summary of the family: Transfer RNA (tRNA) molecules are approximately 80 nucleotides in length. Their secondary structure includes four short double-helical elements and three loops (D, anti-codon, and T loops). The record is from Rfam by way of RNAcentral. Lineage: Eukaryota; Metazoa; Chordata; Mammalia; Artiodactyla; Bovidae.
UCCCUGGUGGUCCAGUGGAUAAGACAUCGCACUCCCAAUGCAGGGGGCCUGGGUUCCAUCCCUGGUCACGGAA